AUCACGUUUAAACACCAGUCCUCGUCUGAUCACCGGAGUUAAGCAACUUCGAGCCAGGUCAGUACCUAGAUGUAUGACCGCUUGGGAGGAUC
Non-coding RNA from Acanthosepion pharaonis, 92 nucleotides. NCBI's taxonomy places the organism in Eukaryota, Metazoa, Mollusca, Cephalopoda, Sepiida, Sepiidae. The record is from the annotation of a GenBank genome assembly.